This 468-nucleotide ribosomal RNA is filed under the name uncultured bacterium. RNAcentral describes it as "partial 16S ribosomal RNA". It matches the Rfam family "Bacterial small subunit ribosomal RNA", at positions 28 to 507 of the family's 1533-position model. The record is from RNAcentral.
GAUGAACGCUGGCGGCGUGCUUAACACAUGCAAGUCGAACGGAAAGGCCAUUCCUUUGACUGGUACUCGAGUGGCGAACGGGUGAGUAACACGUGAGUAACCUGCCCUUUACUUUGGGAUAACUUCAGGAAACUGGGUCUAAUACCGGAUAGGACCUCUUGCUGCAUGGUGGUGUUUAGAACGUUUCGGCGGUAGGGGAUGGGCUCGCGGCUUAUCAGCUUGUUGGUGGGGUAGUGGCUUACCAAGGCUUUGACGGGUAGCCGGCCUGAGAGGGUGCACGGCCACAUUGGGACUGAGAUACGGCCCAGACUCCUACGGGAGGCAGCAGUGGGGAAUAUUGCACAAUGGGCGGAAGCCUGAUGCAGCAACGCCGCGUGCGGGAUGAAGGCCUUCGGGUUGUAAACCGCUUUCGCCAGUGACGAAGCGUAAGUGACGGUAAUUGGUAAAGAAGCACCGGCUAACUACGUG